Daphnia magna is the source of this 217-nucleotide long non-coding RNA. RefSeq lists it as uncharacterized. The transcript is spliced from 2 exons. The record is from RefSeq and is a predicted model, not a curated record. NCBI's taxonomy places the organism in Eukaryota, Metazoa, Arthropoda, Branchiopoda, Diplostraca, Daphniidae.
GAUAUCGUUACCUUGGUUCGCUCCCCUAGUAUCAAACAGCCAGGCUCGCAUUUGCUGGAACAAUUUCGUUCAAUGUACCAAAGUGCCAAUGGAGAUGUGGCAUUCUCGGUGUAAGAAAACCUCUUGACCUGGAUGAAAGGAACGAAUCCUUAGCAGCUCCCCCAUGUUGUAAAUCGUUCGAUUUUUGUUGAAAGAAAUAUAUCGUGAGAAAUUGUUA